UACGUAGGUGGCAAGCGUUACUCGGAAUCACUAGGCGUAAAGCGCAGGUAGGCGGUUAGAUAAGUUUCUUGUGAAAGCUCCUGGCUUAACUGGGAGAGGUCAAGGAAUACUGUUUGACUUGAGUGUGGUAGGGGUAACUGGAAUUCCCGGUGUAGCGGUGAAAUGCGUAGAGUAUCGUCUGGAACGCCGAAGGUGAAAACAGCUCGCUGGGGCUGAUGCUGACGCUGAGACACGAAAGCCAGGGGAGCGAACGGGG
Molecule: ribosomal RNA, 256 nt
Filed under: uncultured bacterium
Lineage: Bacteria
Description: partial 16S ribosomal RNA
Rfam family: Bacterial small subunit ribosomal RNA
Source: RNAcentral